UGUUCCCUCUUCGGCUUCCGUAGACGAGGUCGGGCGGACCUUCGUCCGGGGUUUCGGUGCCCCCCCUUCCCCUUCCCCGGGGUCCGGGGGUGACAUUGCACCGCGCCCCUCCUGGGGUUGCGUCGCCGCCCCACGCGGAAUACCCCCCGGCGCGCUGCUCCCUUUCGCCUCCCUUGGCCGGGGCUCCCUCCCGCCCCCAGCUGCCCAGUCAUGGGGGCUGCUGUGUUUUUCGGCUGCACCUUCGUCGCGUUCGGCCCAGCCUUCGCCCUUUUCCUGAUCACUGUGGCAGGAGACCCGCUUCGGGUCAUCAUCCUGGUCGCGGGAGCCUUUUUCUGGCUGGUCUCCCUGCUCUUGGCCUCUGUGGUCUGGUUCAUCUUGGUCCAUGUGACAGACCGAUCAGAUGCCCGGCUCCAGUAUGGUCUCCUGAUUUUUGGUGCUGCUGUUUCUGUCCUUCUACAGGAAGUGUUCCGAUUUGCCUACUACAAGCUCCUUAAGAAGGCAGAUGAGGGCUUAGCAUCACUGAGCGAGGACGGAAGAUCACCCAUUUCCAUCCGCCAGAUGGCCUACGUUUCUGGUCUGUCCUUCGGUAUCAUCAGUGGUGUCUUCUCUGUUAUCAAUAUUUUGGCCGAUGCACUUGGGCCAGGUGUGGUUGGGAUCCAUGGAGACUCACCCUAUUACUUCCUGACUUCAGCCUUUCUGACCGCAGCCAUUAUCCUGCUCCAUACCUUUUGGGGAGUUGUGUUCUUUGAUGCCUGUGAGAGGAGACGGUACUGGGCUUUGAGCCUGGUAGUUGGGAGUCACCUACUGACAUCAGGACUGACAUUCCUGAACCCCUGGUAUGAGGCCAGCCUGCUGCCCAUCUAUGCAGUCACUGUUUCCAUGGGGCUCUGGGCAUUCAUCACAGCUGGAGGCUCCCUCCGAAGUAUCCAGCGCAGCCUUUCGUGUAAGGACUGACUACCUGGACUGCUCGCCCGACAGAUCCCAUCUGCCUGUCCACUGCCCAUGACUGAGCCCAGCCCCAGCCCGGGUCCAUUGCCCACAUCCUCCGUCUCCUCGCUGAUGUGCCCCGCUACCUUCCGGGUGUGGCGUUGUCCAUUUGUGACCUGUAGUCUCUAAGCUUUAUCAGGAGCAGCCUGGGUGCAGCCCAACAGGGACUGGCCGACGGCAGGAGGACAGUCGGGUGAUGGUGUAUUCUGCCCUGCGCAUCCCACCCGAGGACUAAGGGAACAUGGGGGGGACCCCUGGGCCUGGGGUGCCCUCCCGAUCUCCUCGUCCUGUAUUUCUCCAUCUCCAGUUCUGGACAGUGCAGGUUGCCAAGAAAAGGGACCUAGGUUAGCCAUGGCCCUGGUGAUGAAGUCACUGGAGGCUCAAGGGUAGAUGAGUUCAGUUUUCCUGUAUCUCCUGCCCAGACUGGACAUCAUGGUCUUUUUCUCAGGUCUGAAAGGAACCAUUUUUGGUAUGAUAAAGACCCCAGAAAUGCCUUUUUUUUUAAAGUGGGGAGAGGGAGGAGGUGUACUGGGAGCCUCCUAACCUCCUUGGGCUGUAUUUUUGCUCCUGAAACUGCUGAUCAUGGCUCAUUUCUAUCUCUUUUUCCCCUUGGUCCCAGGCCCUGGGGAAAAGGAAGGAAGUGCAUGUUUGGGAACUGGUACCACUGGAACUUACGUUUUAAUGUCCGUGACCAUUAGCACCCCUCCUCUCCCCAAGGUGAAGUGGAGGGUGUUGUGGGGGUUGGCCCACUCCAUGGCAGUGUCCCUGGAGGAGAUAGACUACCAUGGCAUCGCAGGCCAAGAGGGCAGACAUUUUUCUAGUUUUUAAUUGGGGUGUGGGAGGGCUGGGGAGGUUUUCUAUCACUGUAUCAUUUUUCUGCUGAGGUUGGGAUGUCCCAUCCUUUUAAUCAAGGUGAUUGUGAUUUUGACAAAUAAAAAGGACUUUAUAAUUGUG
Molecule: non-coding RNA, 1941 nt
Organism: Cricetulus griseus (Chinese hamster)
Lineage: Eukaryota; Metazoa; Chordata; Mammalia; Rodentia; Cricetidae
Source: RefSeq, a predicted model, not a curated record